RNAcentral lists this ribosomal RNA (780 nucleotides) under marine metagenome. RNAcentral's name for it is "bacterial SSU rRNA". It matches the Rfam family "Bacterial small subunit ribosomal RNA", at positions 586 to 1367 of the family's 1533-position model. The record is from RNAcentral.
AGUUGGUGGUGAAAUCCCAGAGCUUAACUCUGGAACUGCCAUCAAAACUUUUCAGCUAGAGUUUGAUAGAGGAAAGCAGAAUUUCUAGUGUAGAGGUGAAAUUCGUAGAUAUUAGAAAGAAUACCAAUUGCGAAGGCAGCUUUCUGGAUCAUUACUGACACUGAGGAACGAAAGCAUGGGUAGCGAAGAGGAUUAGAUACCCUCGUAGUCCAUGCUGUAAACGAUGUGUGUUAGACGUUGGAAAUUUAUUUUCAGUGUCGCAGCGAAAGCGAUAAACACACCGCCUGGGGAGUACGACCGCAAGGUUAAAACUCAAAUGAAUUGACGGGGACCCGCACAAGUAGUGGAGCAUGUGGUUUAAUUCGAAGAUACGCGCAGAACCUUACCAACACUUGACAUGUUCGUCGCGACUUUAAGAGAUUAAAGUUUUCGGUUCGGCCGGACGAAACACAGGUGCUGCAUGGCUGUCGUCAGCUCGUGUCGUGAGAUGUUGGGUUAAGUCCCGCAACGAGCGCAACCCUCACUUUUAGUUGCCAUCAUUAAGUUGGGCACUCUGAAAGAACUGCCAGUGAUAAGCUGGAGGAAGGUGGGGAUGACGUCAAGUCCUCAUGGCCCUUACGUGUUGGGCUACACACGUGCUACAAUGGUAUCUACAACAGGAAGCAAGACGGCGACGUUUAGCAAAUCCUUAAAAGAUACCUCAGUUCGGAUUGCACUCUGCAACUCGAGUGCAUGAAGCUGGAAUUACUAGUAAUCGUGGAUCAGCGUGCCACGGUGAAU